CUCCUACGGGGGGCAGCAGUGGGGAAUAUUGGGCAAUGGAGGAAACUCUUACCCAGCAAUGCCGCGUGAGUGAAGAAGGUCUUCGGAUUGUAAAGCUCUUUGAUUGGGGAUGAAAAAAUGACGGUACCCAAAGAACAAGCCCCGGCUAACUACGUGCCAGCAGCCGCGGUAAUACGUAGGGGGCAAGCGUUGUCCGGAAUGACUGGGCGUAAAGGGAGCGUAGACGGCGGCGCAAGUCCGGAGUGAAAGCCCACGGCCCAACCGUGGGACUGCUCUGGAAACUGUGCGGCUUGAUUGCGGGCGUG
This 305-nucleotide ribosomal RNA is filed under the name uncultured bacterium. Its description in RNAcentral is "bacterial SSU rRNA". It matches the Rfam family "Bacterial small subunit ribosomal RNA", at positions 336 to 656 of the family's 1533-position model. The record is from RNAcentral.